RNAcentral lists this small nucleolar RNA (138 nucleotides) under Ornithorhynchus anatinus (platypus). The record is from RNAcentral. Lineage: Eukaryota; Metazoa; Chordata; Mammalia; Monotremata; Ornithorhynchidae.
CCUCUCUUAAGAUCACACCUGGAGAGUUUCCAGUUCUCUACCAGUCUUGGCUACAGGAAGGAGAGUUAAGCAGAGGCCUACCCAUUCCAUUCCUAGCUUGGGAGUUGGCUAGCCAGUGGAAGGCAAUCUGCUGCAAGU